UUUUUUUAUUUAUACUUGAAAAAAAGGUAAGAAAAUACACAUAACAUUAAGUUUACUCUCAAAUCUAUUUCUUUGGUCAGUAUGUUUGUGCAGAGGCCGGAACCAUACCAUUUUAAUCACAUAGGGUUUUUGUUUUUAAUAUGUGAAUUUCUAUUUUUAAAAAGAUUUUAUUUAUUUGACAGAGAGAGUGACAGAGCACAGCAGAGGUAGUGGUAGAGGGAGAGAGAGAAGCAGACUCCCUGCUGAGCAGGGAGCCCAAUGUGGGGUUUGGUCCCAGGACCCUGGGAUUAUGACCUGAGCCGAAGGCAGACGCUUAACUGACUGAACUGCCCAGGUGCCCCAACCACAUAGCUUUAUAGUAAAUUUUCAAAUCAGGAAAUGUGAGUCCUCGGAUUUGCUCUUUUUUUUCUUCCCAAAAUUGUAUUGGCUAUUUGGGGUCUCUUGAGAUUCAAUAUAGAUUUUCGGAUGAAUUUUUCUAUCUCUGCAAAAAAAGUUGGGAUUUUAACGGAGAUUGCGUUGAAUCUGUAGACCGAUCACCUCUUAAUAUUAAAUCAGGCACCCAGGGAAGAGGGGAAAAUAUUUGCAAAUCAUACAUCUGAUGUGGCAUGAAUGGCCACAUAUAUAAAGAACUCCUAUAACUCAACAACACAAAACACAAACAGCUCAAUUAAAAGAAGAGGGGGCCAAAAGACUUGAAUAGACGUUUCUGCAAAGAAGAUAUACAUAUGACCAAUAAUUGCCUGAAGAAAUGAGAAUUCGGAGUAUGAAUCCUAGGAAAUGCAAACCCAAACCCCAAUGAGAUACUAUUUCAUACCCAUUAGGAUGGCUAUUGUUAAAACAAAAUGAAACAAAGAAAAGCAGAAAGUAACAAGUAUUGUUGAGAAUGUGGAGAAAUGGGAACCUUGGUGCCCUGCUGGUAGGAAUGGAAAAUGCACCAGCCACCAUACAAAACAGAAUGGCAGUUCCUAAAAAAGUUAAACAUAUCGCCACCACAUGAUCCAGCGAUCCCACUUCUGGGUAUUUACCCAAAAGAGUUGAAAGCAUGUUCUCAAAGAGGUAUUCAUUCACCCAAUGUUCACAGCAGGAUUAUUCAGAAACAGUCAAGAGGUACAAGCAACCCAAGUAUCUAUCCAUUGACAGAUGAAUGGAUAAACAAAAGGUGGCCCAUCCAUACAACAGAAUGAUAUUCAGCCUGAAAAAGGAAGGACGUUCUGGCACCUGGCACAACAUGGAUGAACCAUGAGGCUAUCACGCUCAUCAAAAUAAGCCAGACACCAAAGGACAAAUACUGUAUGAUUCCACUUAUAAAAGUGACCUAAAGGAGUCUCAUCCACAGAGACAGAGAGUAGAUGGUGGGAGCCAGGAGUGGGGAGUCAGUGCUUCCUGGGGACAGGGUUCCGUGUUGGGAGAUGGAAAGUUCUGGAGAUCGGUGGUGGGGGUGGUUGCAUAACAGUGUGGGUGGGCUUCAUGCCACUGAGCUGUGCACCUUAAAAUGGUUAAGAUGGCACAUUUAAAAAAAUAUUUACUUAUUCAUUCAUUCAUUCAUUCAUUCAUUCAUUUAAGAGAGUGGGAAUAGGGGCAGAGGAGAAAAUCCACAAGGAGACUCCCAGGUGAGUGCAGAGGCCCGCCACGGGGCUCCAUCCCAGGACCCAUGAGACCCUGACCUGAGCCUGAGCCGAAACCAAGAGUCAGACACCUAAUCGACUGAACCACUCAAGCACCCCAACGAUGGUACAUUUUCUAUUUUGUAUUUUAUCACAAUUGGAAAUUAAGAAAGAAAACAGAAAGAAUGGAAGAGAGGAAGAGAAGGAGGAAGAGCCAAAUCUAGCCUCACAACUUUUUGUACAGCCUUUGAUCCAAAGAUGUUUUAUCUUUUUAUCUUUUUUUUAAAAUACUUUAUUUAUUUAUUUGACAGAGAGAAGGAGAGAGAGAGAAGGUGCACACAAGAAGGGGGAACAGCAAAGGGAAAAGGAGAAGCAGUCUCCCUGCUGAGCAGAUCCAUGUGGGGCUGGAUCCCAGGACCCUGAGAUCAUGACCUGAGCUGAAGGUAAAUGCUUAACCGAAUGAGCCACCCAAGUGCCCCUAAGAUGUUUUAUCUUUUAUUUUAUUUUAUUUUUUUGUUUUAUGUUUUAAAUGUUUGUAUACAUGCUGCCGAAGCGAGCACUCUUUUAAAUGUUUGAAGAAAACAGAAGAAUAUUUCCUAACAUAAGACAAUUAUAUACAAUUCAGAUUUCAAUAUUUAUAGUUUUAUUGGCACAUAGCUGUGCCUGUUAGUUUA
Molecule: long non-coding RNA, 2278 nt
Filed under: Canis lupus familiaris (dog)
Lineage: Eukaryota; Metazoa; Chordata; Mammalia; Carnivora; Canidae
Description: lncRNA (ENSCAFG00000052130.1)
Source: RNAcentral